GACGAACGCUGGCGGCGUGCUUAACACAUGCAAGUCGAGCGGUAAGGCCCUUUCGGGGUACGACGAGCGGCGAACGGGUAGGAGUAACAACGUGGGUGGACCUCGCCCUCCAGCUCUGGGAGUAAGACCCGGGAAACCGUAGGUCGUAAUAACCGGACUAUGACUCCAUGACGCAUGUUGUGGGGUGGGAAAGACCUUGUGCGGCUGAGGAGUGGGCCCGGCCGGCCUAUCAGCUUGUUGGGUGGGGUGA
This 250-nucleotide ribosomal RNA is filed under the name uncultured bacterium. RNAcentral describes it as "partial 16S ribosomal RNA". It matches the Rfam family "Bacterial small subunit ribosomal RNA", at positions 28 to 260 of the family's 1533-position model. The record is from RNAcentral.